Molecule: non-coding RNA, 1413 nt
Organism: Arachis ipaensis
Lineage: Eukaryota; Viridiplantae; Streptophyta; Magnoliopsida; Fabales; Fabaceae
Source: RefSeq, a predicted model, not a curated record
AAUAACAAAAAUAACCCAAACGACAAGGCUAACUAUUUUGCGGAGAAAAAGGGAGAAAAGAAGAGUCUCUCGUUCCUAGCAAAACCCCAACCCUAACGAAACCCCUAACCCCAAUCCAUUCCAAAUGAUUCAUUCCUCUCUGGUUCUUCAAUCCAUUCGAUGAUGACGCGCGUUCCUUUAUUGAGCUUCGAUCUCAAUCUCUGCUCAGGAAUGAGCUUCGAUCGUUGAGCUUCGAUCUUCUCUGCUUGCGAAUGAGCUUCGAUCCUCUGCUCCUCUUCUUAUUGAGCUUCGAUUCUCUGCUCGUUGAGCUUCUAUCUCUGCUAAUUGAGCUUCGAUCCUCUACUCCUCUUCUCAUUGAGCUUCGAUCCUCUCUGCUCGUGUUCAUCACUGCCGGUUACUGUUCGAUUAUCACUGCUCGCGUUUUUUGUGAGAUUCUCGUUUUUGGCAUUCUUCUACAGCCGGUCAAAUCACAAACCUAACAGAAACUCUGCAAUAGCCGGCAGCAGAAGCGAUUGCUUCCGUCACCGUCGUCGUUGUAUAGAUCGAACAGCACUAGCUUCACAAUCGGCAUCAUUGCUAAGACCACGGAAUUGCGAAAACCUUGGCAACUGGAAUGGGAGACGUCGAAUAAGGGGCUGAAAAAGUGGUCCGGAGACGGCAAAAAUCGUGUUCCUCUCUUUUUGCAUUCAUCACAGUCGGUGCUAUUAGAUUGAUUCUUUGGACACUUUGGCUCUACUCGGUGAUCGUGACCGCUUUGCCACUUCCAUUGAAUGGAUUGGUAAAAAUAUUCGCUUUGAUAUUAACAAAACUGUUUCUUUGUUUGAGACGACAAUCAGAGUUCUUGGAGGAUUGCUUUCGGCUCAUCUUAUAGUCAAUGAUUACGCUACGGUAUCUGUUAUAUACAUUAUUGUAUACCUGCAUUUUUGUAUUUUGAUAAUAGUCUAGUGAUUCUAACAUUUGAGCACAGGGAUGCGAUGAUUGGUGCCGUUCCAAGCUAUGAGGAGCCGUAUAUUAAAGUUCCAAGGGUCUUAAGUAUGGACUAAAAACUUUGUAAAGUUCAUUGAAGGUGGAGCAAAGGCUGAAAUAAACUCAUAGUGAAGUUGACUCGGUGAAAGACCUGAAUGAAUCAAUCCUUCUUCAGGAUGAAGAACAUGAAAACAAAGGAAAAGAUGAGAGCUGUGAAGCUGCUGAAAGCGGUGCAUCUGAAAGGGAAGAUGCAACUGAGGAGAUUUAGCAUAUGGGACAAGUCAAGCAUGGAUAUAAAAUAUGCAAGUAGAUUGACAUCUUUUUUACAAAUAUUACUAUUUUGUUAUGACAAUUAUUGUUAGAUAAGAAUUUUAUUAUUUUGUCGAGAAUUAUUGAUGAAUAUGUAUUUGAAAUACUAAUUGAACAUUUUAAUAUCUAUUUUAAUUU